RNAcentral lists this ribosomal RNA (440 nucleotides) under uncultured bacterium. RNAcentral's name for it is "partial 16S ribosomal RNA". It matches the Rfam family "Bacterial small subunit ribosomal RNA", at positions 338 to 795 of the family's 1533-position model. The record is from RNAcentral.
CCUACGGGAGGCUGCAGUGGGGGAUAUUGCACAAUGGGGGAAACCCUGAUGCAGCGACGCCGCGUGGGUGAAGAAGCGCCUCGGCGCGUAAAGCCCUGUCAGCAGGGAAGAAAAUGACGGUACCUGAAGAAGAAGCCCUGGCGAACUACGUGCCAGCAGCCGCGGUAAAACGUAGGGGCAAAGCGUUCUCCGGUUGUACUGGGGGAAAAGGGGGCGCAGACGGCGAGGCAGGCAAGGGGUGAAAGCCCGGGGCCCAACCCCGGGACUGCUCUUGGAACUGAGUGGCUAGAGUGCAGGAGGGGCUGGCGGAAUUCCUGGUGUAGCAGUGAAAUGCGUAGAUAUCAGGAGGAACACCAGUGGCGAAGGCGGCCUGCUGGACUGCAACUGACGUUGAGGCCCGAAAGCGUGGGGAGCAAACAGGAUUAGAUACCCCUGUAGUC